UUGAACGCUGGCGGCAUGCCUUACACAUGCAAGUCGAACGGUAACAGGUCUUCGGAUGCUGACGAGUGGCGAACGGGUGAGUAAUACAUCGGAACGUGCCUAGUAGUGGGGGAUAACUACUCGAAAGAGUAGCUAAUACCGCAUGAGAUCUACGGAUGAAAGCAGGGGACCUUCGGGCCUUGUGCUACUAGAGCGGCCGAUGGCAGAUUAGGUAGUUGGUGGGAUAAAAGCUUACCAAGCCGACGAUCUGUAGCUGGUCUGAGAGGACGACCAGCCACACUGGGACUGAGACACGGCCCAGACUCCUACGGGAGGCAGCAGUGGGGAAUUUUGGACAAUGGGCGAAAGCCUGAUCCAGCAAUGCCGCGUGCAGGAUGAAGGCCUUCGGGUUGUAAACUGCUUUUGUACGGAACGAAAAAGCUCCUUCUAAUACAGGGGGCCCAUGACGGUACCGUAAGAAUAAGCACCGGCUAACUACGUGCCAGCCGCCGCCGUAA
Molecule: ribosomal RNA, 497 nt
Filed under: uncultured bacterium
Lineage: Bacteria
Description: partial 16S ribosomal RNA
Rfam family: Bacterial small subunit ribosomal RNA
Source: RNAcentral